AAUAUCUUUGGCUUGUAGUGCAAAGAUGAACUGUUAAUGAAUAUUUUUGGCCCGUAGUGAAAAGAUAAAUUUAUUAGUAUGAUGAUGAACAGGAACUGUGAUUUGAUAUAACCAUGAUCUUUGAUGUUUCAGGUAAAGAAAGUUGAUGAAAAUUAUCUUCGUCCUAGGUGCGAAGAGGAAUUUAGAACCACAAUUAUGAUUAUGAGUUAUUCACAUGAUUGUGGACAGGAACUGUUGAUUGAUGUUACAGGAAUAAAACAUUGUUCGUGGACUUUAACAUGGAAAAUAUAAUAGACUUUAUGAUCUAUUUGACUCUUCUAAUGGAUUACUCGUUCCACUGCAACUAUGGUUGAAAAUUUUUAUCAUCUACCAUAUGUUCUAAAUCUCUGAUUUAUUACUGAAGAAGACUAUUGAUAAUUUAAUUAUCUUUAGUCAUGUUAUUCUUUACUAGGCUGGUUGUGCUCACCUUUUUGUUUCACAAUUUCUUUCAGGUAAUAAGAGUGUAGCUGGGUCGAGCGGGGGUAACAGGGGAAUAGAACGGUGGUCUAUAGCUGUUGAG
RNAcentral lists this long non-coding RNA (559 nucleotides) under Panax ginseng (ginseng). Its description in RNAcentral is "long non-coding RNA (PGIN_LNC018869)". The record is from RNAcentral. Lineage: Eukaryota; Viridiplantae; Streptophyta; Magnoliopsida; Apiales; Araliaceae.